UACGUAGGGUGCAAGCGUUGUCCGGAAUUAUUGGGCGUAAAGAGCUCGUAGGCGGUUCGUCGCGUCGGCUGUGAAAUCCCGGAGCUCAACUCCGGGUCUGCAGUCGAUACGGGCGGACUUGAGUACUGCAGGGGAGACUGGAAUUCCUGGUGUAGCGGUGAAAUGCGCAGAUAUCAGGAGGAACACCAAUUGCGAAGGCAGCUCGCUGGGACGUUACUGACGCUGAGACGCGAAAGCGUGGGGAGCAAACAGG
This 253-nucleotide ribosomal RNA is filed under the name uncultured bacterium. RNAcentral's name for it is "partial 16S ribosomal RNA". It matches the Rfam family "Bacterial small subunit ribosomal RNA", at positions 524 to 776 of the family's 1533-position model. The record is from RNAcentral.